RNAcentral lists this transfer RNA (66 nucleotides) under Passalidae sp. GENSP02. RNAcentral's name for it is "tRNA-Asp". The record is from RNAcentral. Lineage: Eukaryota; Metazoa; Arthropoda; Insecta; Coleoptera; Passalidae.
AUAGAUUUAGUUAAAGAAAAUAACAUUAAUCUGUCAAAUUAAAAUUAUUUUUAAAAAUAAUCUGUU